This is a long non-coding RNA of Paramisgurnus dabryanus, 953 nucleotides long. RefSeq lists it as uncharacterized. The record is from RefSeq and is a predicted model, not a curated record. Lineage: Eukaryota; Metazoa; Chordata; Actinopteri; Cypriniformes; Cobitidae.
ACAGUAUUUAUAUUGGUUCAAGAGCGCAGUUUGAUAACUCAUUCAAGCCUUUAAACAUCUAAACAUGUCCUCCAAAAAGGUAAGUUCAGCAGAUCAGCUUAUCUUAUUCUGUAAUAUUGAUACUGGUUUGAGAAAAACUAAGAUUAAACAACGUACAUGUUUCCAGGAAAAAGGGAAAAACACUGGAAAACAAUUUCAGCCUAAGGUUUGAGAUGGCUAACUGUGUACAUUGCCUUUGUGUACUGCAAGCUGAACUUACAGAUUUAUAUGGACUUUACUUACAGGUUUCCUGUGCUGUUUUGCUCCAUUUUACAGAACAAAAUAAGGCUGAGGUAGCACCAUCCUUGUGGUUAGAGUGAAAGAAUGUGGGUAUUGAGACCAAAAUAAAUAAUGUGCCAUUCUGGACAAACAGCUGUGGACAAUAUAAGCAGUCAGAGUAGCCCAUUUUCUCACACAGAUGAGGAGCAACCAGUAAGAAAAAGCAAAAAGAUGUUUUGAUGUUGCCUGAGGCACCUUAUUCACAUCAGUCAAUUUCUUCCAAUAAUGAAUCAAGAAAUCCUGGAGUGGAGAAUCAUUCUGAAAGUAGACCAAACACAGGACAACACCACAGCAGUGGUUGGAAAAAUGCAGCAGACAAUGAGCAAACCAAGCUGACUUUCAAAAGAUGAUUCGUUAUCUGUUUCUUCAAAGGGGAGGCAGUUUGGGAGAUGGGAAAUAGGAGGAUGCUACAGCUACACAGGGCGAAUUUCAGCAGCUCAGUUUCACACUUGCAACUAACAAUGAAUUAUAGUUAGAAGACAACGGAAAUAUUUGACAUGGGAGUCCAGCAGACAGCCAGAGACACGCACACACACGGAGCUGAAGCGCGUUUGACUGACGCGUACGGGAGAUCAGGCACGCGCACGGGAGCUCGCUCGCGCACGCACACACAAACACGGAGCACAGGAAAAUUA